AGUAUAAUAAAUUAUUACGUCAAGAUUCCUCACCAAAGCAGAGAAGAGGAGAAAAAAGAAUCCUACUCUUCGAUAUAUAACUAGACUCAAAGUAGUUUUUCACUAGACUCGACUCUGCCAAGUUCGAUCAAUCAAGGGGGCUCAUAGGUCGGUACUGCCGUGAUACCAACUUGUCACGCCCAAGAUGCGACCCUAUCCUCAAUUUGGCACGAGGGCCUCGUCAGGGAUAGAAGCGCAUCUCGUCGUGUCGCAAGAAUGGAUAUCGUUACAAGUACAUGUACUGAAAAGAAGAGUUAUAUAAAUAGAAUUGGCUUACACUCGCCACAAGCUACAUCGGAGUCACAUCAGUACAAUACAUAAACAUCACGAAGAAGAGCAGGGUCCAACAACGGACGAAAACAAACAAGAAACUAAUAACGACGUCCACCCUUGCUAUCCCAGGCUGCCGACCUGGAACCCAUCCUAGAUCGGUGAAGAAGAUGAAGAAGAAGCAACUCCAAAUGAACAAUCAACGCGCU
RNAcentral lists this long non-coding RNA (518 nucleotides) under Hordeum vulgare. RNAcentral describes it as "long non-coding RNA (HVUL_LNC002698)". The record is from RNAcentral. Lineage: Eukaryota; Viridiplantae; Streptophyta; Magnoliopsida; Poales; Poaceae.